GCUUGUCUCAAAGAUUAAGCCAUGCAUGUUCAAGUAUAGCAAGUGUACAGUGAAACUGCGAAUGGCUCAUUAAAUCAGUUAUAAUUUAUUUGAUAGUGAAAUUGUACAUGGAUAACCGUGGCAAUUCUAGGGCUAAUACAUGCGUCAAUGGUCGGUCGACCAGUAUUUAUUAGAUACAAAGCCAGCCGUCAGGAUCAGGUGAAUCAUGAUAACCAAACGAAUCGCAUGGCUUCACGCCGGCGAUGGUUCAUUCAAAUUUCUGCCCUAUCAGCUUUCGAUGGUAGGAUCGAGGCCUACCAUGGCGUUUACGGGUAACGGAGAAUUAGGGUUCGAUUCCGGAGAGGGAGCCUGAGAGAUGGCUACCACAUCCAAGGAAGGCAGCAGG
Molecule: ribosomal RNA, 385 nt
Filed under: uncultured fungus
Lineage: Eukaryota; Fungi
Description: partial small subunit ribosomal RNA
Rfam family: Eukaryotic small subunit ribosomal RNA
Source: RNAcentral